Molecule: long non-coding RNA, 1151 nt
Organism: Oryzias melastigma (Indian medaka)
Lineage: Eukaryota; Metazoa; Chordata; Actinopteri; Beloniformes; Adrianichthyidae
Exons: 2
Source: RefSeq, a predicted model, not a curated record
CACACAUUUAGAGUCACCAAUGAACUCAUGAAGCGUGUUUUUGGACUGUGGAAGGAAAACUGAGUUCCCGGAGAACACGUGCAAACUUCACACAGAAAGCUGGGAUUCAAACCAGGGCCUUCCCACUAGUGUUAACCACUACACCACCAUGCAGCCUUUGAACUGGCAUCUAAGUGGUUAAAACUUGUUCUCAUUUUUCUUUGACUUUUCUACAAAAAGUUCAUCUACAGUCUAGAUUUCUUUGGUUUCCCUUCAAGGGAAGAAGUGUUGGAGUCCAAACAUCAAACCAGUUUUAAGAAACAAUCCUGAAUAUUCUGUUUGGUCCUAAAGCUCAUGAGAGGGACAGAAGCAGCGAACGCCUUGGAAACAGGAGACAGUUUAGGUUUUUUUGAACACAGCCAGUAGCUGCAUGUUUGGAUUAGAACUUCCUCACAUGCUCAACUUCUUUUUUUUUCCAUGUCAGCUGCACAAGUUUUAGAAUUAAAAGAAACCAUUAAAGUAAAUCAGCCCCAUGAAGAUUGAAAUUCCACUCCAGGAUCAACAGAGCUGCCCGCUAACAUCAACAUCUCCGUCUCUCCUCCAGGAGCUCCCGCCAAAGAAAAUCCCAUCGCAGUCAAAGUCCAUUCUGAGAGUUGACUUUGCACUUUACAAGUUCAGGAUCUUCAGGCUCUAAGAUUUCAGCAAAAACAAAUCCAGCCUCAAUUAUCUGUGGUGCUUCACAUCUUAAAGAGCAUCAGGAAGAAAAGGAUUUAGAGCGACCAUCUUAACCAGAAGAGUUGACAGAGACGUGUGGAAUCUGAUCCCAACCUUCAGGCCAAGACGACCACGAGAGGAGAGAUGACCUCCUGCUGCACUCUCCACCUCUGAGAGUAAUGGCUCCAAAGGUGGAAAGACAAACUGCAGCGCUGAUUACAGAGAAGGACUGUGGGGAGUUCAGACAUUAGGGCCCGUCAUCGGUCCGGAGUGAGCCUGAACAUUUCCAGUCAUCAGAACAAACAGCAGCCUCUGAUCGGUGAGUCAGUGGUGCUGAAAUUACAGAAAACAGCCCUGAAAGUUCUCCACCGAAGGCCAGAGGAUCGACAUUCCGUCCGAGGUUGUAAAGAAGAUCUUCAAAAGCAAAGACCAGCCACAAAUACAGAGUUCACGAGUCA